Mesocricetus auratus (golden hamster) is the source of this 496-nucleotide long non-coding RNA. RefSeq lists it as uncharacterized. The record is from RefSeq and is a predicted model, not a curated record. Lineage: Eukaryota; Metazoa; Chordata; Mammalia; Rodentia; Cricetidae. The transcript is spliced from 4 exons.
AAGGGGAAACACAAGAGAGUCAACAUGUGACGCCAUGGGAGUAGGACGCCGGGAACUAUUGUCCGGUAACACUCCAUCACUGAAAGAGGACAGGGCAGGAACUAGAGCUCAGCAGAACUUGGAGGCAGAAACAGAGGCAGAGGCCAUGGAGGAACACUGCUUACUGGCUUGCUCUUCAAGGACUGCCAGGACCAAUUCAUCUUGCUAAAUCCGAUUCAUCUUUAGAGGUGCAAUUCGAAGGUCACCUCUUCUGCACCAGCUGUCCAGGCAUCUCCUGGAGGAGGCACGAGGUGAGUCUCUUGGUUCACCAUCAUGUGCUACUCUGAUGUGUACCACAAACCCAAAGCAAUCGCAUCAAUGGACCAAGGACGGCACCCUAUAACAUCAGAGCCCAAAUUAGCCGCUUUCCUUUGUAAGCCAGUUAUAACCCUGGAACACACUGUAUAGACCAGGCUGGCCUUGAGCUCAGAGAUGCUCCUCCUUCUAACUCUGAAGU